UCCUUGGGGUUUGGUUUAAAGCCGCUGACACACGGCCCUGGUGCAACCCAGCUGUUCUCCUGAGCCUCCCCGAGGCAGGUUUGCAAACGAACCUGGUUCAAAUGGGUUUAACUGGGGUGUAGGCCAAGUGUAUAAAUGCACUUAAAUUACCUUCAGACUUCAAAGAGUCAGACUCUUUUCAGUGGUUCCCAGUGAGAGGACGAGGGGCAACGGGCACAAGUUGGAACAUAAGAAGUUCCACUCAAAUAUGAGGAGAAACUUCUUCACGGUGAGGGUGACAGAGCCCUGGAACAGGCUGCCCAGGGAGGGUGUGGAGUCCCCUUCCUUGGAGAUUUUCAAGACCCGCCUUGAUACAGUCCUGAGUAACAUGCUCUAGCUCUAGGCAAUCCUGCUUCAGCAGGGGAGUUGGACUAGAUGAUCUUUAUGGUCCCUUCCAACUCUAAAAUUCAGUGAAAUUCAGUGAAAUUCAGGCACAUUUCUAGUGAUAAAAGUGCUGGUUGUUGCCCCCAAUGAGCGUUUGCCCACCUGCUGCACAAGAGACAUUCACAAACUAGCGCUGCUUGUUCCCCAUAGGAGGAAGCUGGUUCCUUUACGCAGGAAGAUUGAAAGGCGAGAGAAGAGGAGAGAGGUAAUAACACUCCUCCAUGUCAUCUCCUUCCGUUGCUUCUCUUCCACGUGUCUUUCCAUCUCCUGACACAGCUCCUCUUUGCUCCACCAGGAGAAAGCCCUGAUUGCUGCUCAGCUGGACAACGCCAUCGAGAAGGAACUACUGGAAAGACUGAAACAGGACACAUAUGGAGACAUUUACAACUUCCCCAUCCACGCCUUCGACAAAGCUCUACAACAGCAGGAAGCAGAAAGCGAGAGCGAGUCUGAUGCGGAGAAGGAGGAGGAUGAUGAUGAGGUAACACUUUCAGCCACAGCACCACGGCUGAUCCCUCCCUGAGCUGGGUCAGUGCCCCAUCCACCAACACAGGGUAGUGUGAGUGUCAGGAUGAGGAGAACU
This 1006-nucleotide long non-coding RNA is filed under the name Calidris pugnax (ruff). Its description in RNAcentral is "lncRNA (ENSCPUG00000002216.1)". Lineage: Eukaryota; Metazoa; Chordata; Aves; Charadriiformes; Scolopacidae. The record is from RNAcentral.